This is a long non-coding RNA of Daphnia pulicaria, 362 nucleotides long. RefSeq lists it as uncharacterized. The transcript has 2 exons. Lineage: Eukaryota; Metazoa; Arthropoda; Branchiopoda; Diplostraca; Daphniidae. The record is from RefSeq and is a predicted model, not a curated record.
GUGCUGCUGUUGGGUGUUGUACCAUUCAUGGCUGGUUACUGUGCCCCACUGCCCAUGGCGAUAUAUCUGGUGCUUUCAUAAAGCAACAACGAAGAAAUCAGUCAAGUGAUCAUCUCCGACACGUCAUUAACUGCUUUCUUUGUCGUGCUAAGACAAUUCGCAAUCAUAGUUAACUAAGAUGUCGUGUCGUGCUGCUGUUGGGUGUUGUAUCUUUGUUGGCUGGGGCGACCACUGGUAUACCGAUGUCUUCUGGGUAUGGCGGAUACCAAACCUCAACGCUGCCGCCUUACUACGCAACUCCAUAUGACACGACCAGUUACUACACCGAGGCCCCCAAGUACUAAACCAAGGCUCCAGAUUAU